RNAcentral lists this ribosomal RNA (440 nucleotides) under uncultured bacterium. RNAcentral's name for it is "partial 16S ribosomal RNA". It matches the Rfam family "Bacterial small subunit ribosomal RNA", at positions 338 to 795 of the family's 1533-position model. The record is from RNAcentral.
CCUACGGGUGGCAGCAGUGGGGAAUAUUGCACAAUGGGGGAAACCCUGAUGCAGCGACGCCGCGUGAGUGAAGAAGUAACUCGUUAUGUAAAGCUCUAUCAGCAGGGAAGAAAAUGACGGUACCUGAGUAAGAAGCCCCGGCUAACUACGUGCCAGCAGCCGCGGUACUACGUAGGGGGCAAGCGUUAUCCGGAUUUACUGGGUGUAAAGGGAGCGUAGACGGCGGUGCAAGUCUGGAGUGAAAGGCAGGGGCGAAACCCCCGGACUGCUCUGGAAACUGGACGGCUGGAGUGCAGGAGAGGCAAGUGGAAUUCCUGGUGUAGCGGUGAAAUGCGUAGAUAUCAGGAGGAACACCAGUGGCGAAGGCGGCUUGCUGGACUGUAACUGACGUUGAGGCUCGAAAGCGUGGGGAGCAAACAGGAUUAGAUACCCGGGUAGUC